RNAcentral lists this ribosomal RNA (446 nucleotides) under uncultured bacterium. RNAcentral's name for it is "bacterial SSU rRNA". It matches the Rfam family "Bacterial small subunit ribosomal RNA", at positions 342 to 807 of the family's 1533-position model. The record is from RNAcentral.
CGGGAGGCAGCAGUUAGGAAUCUUCCACAAUGGGCGAAAGCCUGAUGGAGCGACGCCGCGUGAGGGAUGAAGGCCCUCGGGUUGUAAACCUCUAAAAGGGGGACGAUAAUGACGGUACCCCUUGAAAAGCACCGGCUAACUCCGUGCCAGCAGCCGCGGUAAUACGGAGAGUGCAAGCGUUAUCCGGAAUCACUGGGCGUAAAGGGCGUGUAGGCGGCCUGUUAAGUCCGAUGUUAAAGACCGGGGCUCAACCCCGGCACGGCGCUGGAUACUGGCAGGCUAGACGGCUGGAGAGGAAAGUGGAAUUACCAGUGUAGCGGUGGAAUGCGUAGAUACUGGUAGGAACACCCAUUGCGAAGGCAGCUUUCUGGACAGCCCGUGACGCUGAGGCGCGAAAGUGUGGGGAGCAAACCGGAUUAGAUACCCGGGUAGUCCACACCCUAAAC